CGCCUCUAGCAAGUUUUUGUUGCUCUCUCGUGCAUCUGUUGCAUUGCAUUGUUUGUAAACGUGAAUUGUACGGUAAUUGAAUUUAAAACUGUUUCGGCCGUUUUCCCAAACCGCUUGGUUGCAUGCGUGUGAAAAUGACACAUGAUUUGAUUUAAACUUGUUAUCAGGAGCAAGGAUUGUCUUGGCAAUCUGCUGGAUGAACACCGAGGCUGAGCUUCGUUGCAUCAAGACAACCGAGAAAUAUUGAGUGCUGUUCUCCAUCUUAAUGUAUUUGAAUGAUAAUUCAGCCUGUUAGUGAAACAUGGUAGCCAGGUAGUCUUAAGGAUUCCCACAAGGUGGUGGAGCCAUCUGAGAUUUUGGGGUGGGCUCAACGAAAACUAAACAAUCAGUCGGCCAUGAUAGUUUUACGUCACCAGUAAAUAAGCUGAGGUUUAUUGCCCAGGACUUAAACACACACACACACACACACAAGGAUUCAGAGACACUCACUUGUAGGAGAAAAUAUCCAAUGGUGAUUGUGGUAGUAUCCAUACUGUCCCUCUUGUAAUAAAAAAAAAAUGUUUUGAUUCCGGCUCUCUCCAACAAACUGUAUAUCUACGUUGUCUUAUUGGUUUAACAUUGUCGCGACUGCUUCACACACCAUCCCGGUGUUUAAUGCCGGAAUGGAGUCCCACAUUUUUUUUAUUAUCAUUAUAUUUCGCCAGCAACAAACAAGUGGGAAAAAGACGUUGAUCAGCUGUGCUCACACAAACCAUAAAGAGUCGUUAAAUUAAAAGAAAAAAACAAAUUAGAAAGAAGACGAACAUUCGAUUUUUUAAUAUGUGUGGUCCUUUUUACAAAGAGUAAUAAACAGCCAAUAAAGGAGGCGGUGCAACGGAUCAUUAACGUGACGACGAACUCCUUUACACGAUUGAAUGAUUCGAUCAUAUAGGAAAAAAUACGCAGCAAAAAGGGAAUGUCUGGCGGCAGUAAAAAAUGAAUCAAAUAAUAAAAAAACACACACACACACAAGGGAACCCUCUGCGCACCGUGAAUGAAUAUGCGUGUGAAACCAAAAUUUUAGACUUUUUUUUGUUGAGCUACGGCUGCGGUUACUGUUUUUCUUCAUUCUUAACCCGAUUCAUCGCCCAACACUUCAUUAAAAAACAGAGUCUGCAGUGGUGAUCUUUUUAUUGCCGUUUUCGAAAGAUUCUACGCAAAAAACAAAAAUUUCUUUUUUUUUUUGUUUUCGAAAAACGUUAUUACAUCAUAAGGUGGCCAUAAAACUUCAUUGCUUAAGUGCCAAUUAUUCUUUUGUGAGAAUCAAAAAGCCAUUGAAGAGAAAAACGGUCAACUAACAUUGUCAUCGUUCCGGUCGUCGGCCUUUUUCUUUUUUUCUUUUCUUUCUUCAUAAAUAAUGGAUCCAUACGAUAUUAAAACCUCUUGUGGGUAAGAAACUCUUUUUAAGAGAAAAUCUCGAUCUUUUGCUUAUUAAAAACCGCCGUGAAAAAAAAAAUAAAUGUUUUCUAUUUGAGAGAGAGUCAAAAGCGGGCACGUUGUACAUAGUUGGAGAAAAUGAAUGGUAACAGCUGUUACUCGCCUUUUAAGCGAUCAUUGUUAAACGUGUAUAGCUCAAGGAGUUUGUUAUCCAUUCAAGAUUUUUGUCCCCCUGACCCUCCGCCCCGUCUUUGCACGUCUGGCAAACACCUGGAUCUUCAGGAUGUGAUGAAUGGACACGAGCCAAUUUCGAAAAAUGACCGUUGCCACGCGCCAUAUGACACACGGGGAGCUUUAUCCGAGGGUAUGACACUAUGCCCAUUUCCUUUUGUUGUUUUUCGUUCGUAUGGGAAGGACUUCGACGCCAUUUUAGGUCCGAAAAUAUCCUGCUGAUUUCCUCUCGAUAAUCAAUUAAAAAUCGUUUUCUACCAUUUCUGUAUUGGUAAUUUUUUUUUUGUUUCUCUCUUCGAUAAUCAAUAAUUAAACGGAAGGAAAUAAAAAAAAAAAGAAAUCCCGAAAUUGGGGGGUAAGAAUUUUCUUUUUUUUUAAAUUCUUUCUGGUUGGUGUGAAAGCAUCCGCGAGCUUCCCACGCAUCUCUGACAUUAUAACAUUUUUCUCGGUCGUUGUUCAUCGGCGUCGUCUCUUUUGCGGUCGGCCAUUAAUAAACAAAAAAAAAAAAACAUACAGAAGCGAAAACACCCCCCUUAAAAAAAAAAGAAAAGAGAGAAGGAGGAGGUUUGAUUAUUAAAUAUCCUCGUAUCGUAGCCAUUUCCUAUAUUUAGUACGAAGCGCAUGCAGAUGACGCGCCUCGUUUUCAAAACUGUUUCUUUUUUUUUCUUCUUCUUCUUCGUUUGCUGUGCCGAUCGUAUACGUUGGAGGGGCCACUGUCGUGAGAAAGUCGUAAGGGUGAUUAAGAAAACAUCGAUCCUGCGUUGUCAUUGCGGUCAAUCGGUUGCAAUAUGCCGAAUCUAUCGUUAAAUACAUUUCUUGUAAUUUCGGCCCGAAACGGAGGAAGACGAACGGCAACAGCGCAUGUGCGUGAAUUUGCGUUGUUAUUCGAUUUUUACACGAAAGAAAGAAGAAGGUCUCGCAGUUGUUGUAAGGUUGUUACAAGAGGUAGCGAACGGCUUGUGUUUUGUUGCAUGUGGAGGAUAAGAGGAUGGAUGGAAAAGACCGGAAGUGUGUCGUGUGUGAGAGGCUCAUCAUGCCGACGUUCCCACACGACGGAACGUCGCGCGCACAGCCCACCUUUCCAAUGCCACACACACACAAUUGCUCCCGUAUUUUCUUCGUCUUCUCGUUCAUCGAGUUUUCUUUUUCUUAUUUUUCUGUAGACUUGGUUUAAAAUAUUUAAAUGGAAUGAAUGCGGCGUUAAGAUCGUCGUUUGUUUUUCUUUUGAAUUCUCUUAUUUUCAAACGAUUUCGACGACUAGGGCGAUACGAAUGCGCGUAACGGACCGAUUUGCAUUUGUUUUUCUGUUUGAGAAAAUCGUUCGUCCAAUUUUGUUUAAAAAUGUAUUUCAAAUGUCUUUUUUCGUAUGACCCUUUUUGAGAGCGAAAUUGUGUUCACACCGACAGCCUUUCGAGGGUCGUUGCCUUUAUUAACGCAACAACCUUGUUGGUGUUAACCGUCGUAGAAAAC
Daphnia magna is the source of this 3117-nucleotide long non-coding RNA. RefSeq lists it as uncharacterized. Lineage: Eukaryota; Metazoa; Arthropoda; Branchiopoda; Diplostraca; Daphniidae. The transcript has 3 exons. The record is from RefSeq and is a predicted model, not a curated record.